This 480-nucleotide ribosomal RNA is filed under the name uncultured bacterium. RNAcentral's name for it is "partial 16S ribosomal RNA". It matches the Rfam family "Bacterial small subunit ribosomal RNA", at positions 28 to 523 of the family's 1533-position model. The record is from RNAcentral.
GACGAACGCUGGCGGCGUGCUUAACACAUGCAAGUCGAGCGGUAAGGCUCCUUCGGGAGUACACGAGCGGCGAACGGGUGAGUAACACGUGAGCAACCUGCCCUUCUCAUCGGAAUAAGCGUUGGAAACGACGUCUAAUGCCGAAUAUGACCUCCUUUCGCAUGAUCGGAGGUGGAAAGCUCCGGCGGAGAAGGAUGGGCUCGCGGCCUAUCAGCUUGUUGGUGGGGUAACGGCCCACCAAGGCGACGACGGGUAGCCGGCCUGAGAGGGUGACCGGCCACACUGGGACUGAGACACGGCCCAGACUCCUACGGGAGGCAGCAGUGGGGAAUAUUGGACAAUGGGCGAAAGCCUGAUCCAGCAACGCCGCGUGAGGGAUGACGGCCUUCGGGUUGUAAACCUCUUUCAGCAGGGACGAAGCGAAAGUGACGGUACCGGGUGAGGAAGCCCCGGCUAACUCUGUGCCAGCAGCCGCAGUAA